RNAcentral lists this ribosomal RNA (447 nucleotides) under uncultured bacterium. RNAcentral describes it as "bacterial SSU rRNA". It matches the Rfam family "Bacterial small subunit ribosomal RNA", at positions 355 to 825 of the family's 1533-position model. The record is from RNAcentral.
UGGGGAAUUUUGGGCAAUGGGCGAAAGCCUGACCCAGCAACGCCGCGUGAAGGAUGAAGUAUUUCGGUAUGUAAACUUCGAAAGAAUAGGAAGAAUAAAUGACGGUACUAUUUAUAAGGUCCGGCUAACUACGUGCCAGCAGCCGCGGUAAUACGUAGGGACCAAGCGUUGUUCGGAUUUACUGGGCGUAAAGGGCGCGUAGGCGGCAUGACAAGUCACUUGUGAAAUCUCUGGGCUUAACCCAGAACGGCCAAGUGAUACUGUCGCGCUAGAGUGCAGAAGGGGCAAUCGGAAUUCUUGGUGUAGCGGUGAAAUGCGUAGAUAUCAAGAGGAACACCUGAGGUGAAGACGGGUUGCUGGGCUGACACUGACGCUGAGGCGCGAAAGCCAGGGGAGCAAACGGGAUUAGAUACCCCAGUAGUCCCUGAGCGGGCUGGCAAGGCGCAU